Non-coding RNA from Aphanomyces invadans, 73 nucleotides. Lineage: Eukaryota; Oomycota; Saprolegniomycetes; Saprolegniales; Verrucalvaceae. The record is from Rfam.
GUCCGCGUGGCGCAAUGGCUAGCGUUUCGGACUUCUAAUCCGGAGGUUGCGGGUUCGAGUCCCGUCGUGGACG